This 481-nucleotide ribosomal RNA is filed under the name uncultured bacterium. RNAcentral describes it as "SSU rRNA". It matches the Rfam family "Bacterial small subunit ribosomal RNA", at positions 26 to 523 of the family's 1533-position model. The record is from RNAcentral.
AGGAUGAACGCUGGCGGCGGUGCCUAACGACGAUGCAAGUCGAACGUCCUGUCUCGCAAGAGGCAGGGAGUGGCGGACGGGUGAGUACCACGUGGGUUAUCUACCGUGAGGUGAGGAAUACCGGCGAGAAAUCGCCGACAAGACCGCAUAGCCUCGGUGCAAGCCGAGGAAAGCUUUCUCGAGAGAGGGAGCGCCACACGAGGAGCCUGCGCCCGAUUAGCUAGCUGGUGGAGUAACGGUUCACCAGGGCGACGAUCGGUAGCUGGUCUGAGAGGACGAUCAGCCACACUGGGAUUGAGAACGGCCCAGACUCCUACGGGGGGCAGCAGUGAGGAAUUUUCGUCAAUGGGGGCAACCCUGAACGAGCAACGCCGCGUGCAGGAAGAAGGUUUUCGGAUCGUAAACUGCUUUUCUCGGGGAAGAGAACGGACGGUACCCGAGGAAUCAGCCCCGGCUAACUACGUGCCAGCAGCCGCGGUAA